RNAcentral lists this signal recognition particle RNA (268 nucleotides) under Armatimonadota bacterium. Its description in RNAcentral is "Armatimonadetes bacterium (groundwater metagenome) signal recognition particle sRNA large type". It matches the Rfam family "Bacterial large signal recognition particle RNA". From Rfam's summary of the family: The signal recognition particle (SRP) is a universally conserved ribonucleoprotein involved in the co-translational targeting of proteins to membranes. Archaeal SRP consists of a 7S RNA and homologues of the eukaryotic SRP19 and SRP54 proteins. The record is from RNAcentral. Lineage: Bacteria; Bacillati; Armatimonadota.
UCGUGCUAGACGGGGAGCUAGCGGUGCCCUGUAGCCCGCAAUCCGCUAUAGCGGGGUCGAAUUCCCGUCCUGAGGGCCUCUUCUGUGGGGUCUGACCCGUGUAAGUGGUGUUGAUGGCCGGGUCUCGCGCAACGUUCCGGCAGCGAACCCCGUCAGGGCCGGAAGGCAGCAGCGGUAAGUUGUCAGGGGCGUGUGCCGCGAGGAAGCCUGGCAGGAGCCGGCUGCGCGGGUAACGCCUGGAGAGGCAGGUUCGAAGGCGGGUGCACGA